ACGUCAGCGUUCUGACGUGGCCGGCCGCAUUUGUGUUCGUUUGCGCUCCGUUUGACAGCUACUGAAAAAAAAAACUCGCGCGUCUUCUGUCAAGCUUGAAACUUUUUGAGUGCGUUCGAAAUUUAAACUGUAUAAAAUAGUGUUGUUUGUUGGAUUAUUUGUUUGGAUAAACUGGAUAAGAUAAUUGCAGUGUAAUUGUAUCGGCUCGAACUGGCCGUUGAGACGCUAUAAAGUGAUGAAUCAGCGAGCGCCGGCUAAUUAACAACGUCACUGCUACGAAAACAAAUCUAAACCUCUAUCUGCUAUUCAGCUUCGGGGAUAUUUCUGGUGAGGGUCCGGCCCGCCGGCAAGCUGUUUUACCCCUAUCUGAAGACGUCCUCCCUCCACAGGGAUUUCCUGUUUGCGAGUGGAUCCGACGAGUCGGGAUGCGAGGCUGACAUGCUGGAGGGCGCGGAGGCGGGCCGGCACUCGCCGCCCCGGCCGCAGCGAG
This is a long non-coding RNA of Ostrinia nubilalis (European corn borer), 490 nucleotides long. RefSeq lists it as uncharacterized. The record is from RefSeq and is a predicted model, not a curated record. Lineage: Eukaryota; Metazoa; Arthropoda; Insecta; Lepidoptera; Crambidae. The transcript has 3 exons.